AUUGAACGCUGGCGGCAUGCUUUACACAUGCAAGUCGAACGGCAGCGCGGGCUUCGGCCUGGCGGCGAGUGGCGAACGGGUGAGUAAUACAUCGGAACGUGCCCAGUAGUGGGGGAUAGCUCGGCGAAAGCCGGAUUAAUACCGCAUACGACCUGAGGGUGAAAGCGGGGGAUCUUCGGACCUCGCGCUAUUGGAGCGGCCGAUGGCAGAUUAGCUAGUUGGUGGGGUAAAGGCCUACCAAGGGGACGAUCUGUAGCUGGUCUGAGAGGACGACCAGCCACACUAGGACUGAGACACGGCCCAGACUCCUACGGGAGGCAGCAGUGGGGAAUUUUGGACAAUGGGCGAAAGCCUGAUCCAGCAAUGCCGCGUGUGUGAUGAAGGCCUUCGGGUUGUAAAGCACUUUUGGCGGGAACGAAAAGGACUGUGCCAAUACCACGGUUCGAUGACGGUACCCGCAGAAUAAGCACCGGCUAACUACGUG
RNAcentral lists this ribosomal RNA (484 nucleotides) under uncultured bacterium. Its description in RNAcentral is "partial 16S ribosomal RNA". It matches the Rfam family "Bacterial small subunit ribosomal RNA", at positions 29 to 507 of the family's 1533-position model. The record is from RNAcentral.